Molecule: transfer RNA, 88 nt
Filed under: bacterium
Lineage: Bacteria
Description: tRNA-Ser
Rfam family: tRNA
About the family: Transfer RNA (tRNA) molecules are approximately 80 nucleotides in length. Their secondary structure includes four short double-helical elements and three loops (D, anti-codon, and T loops). Further hydrogen bonds mediate the characteristic L-shaped molecular structure. tRNAs have two regions of fundamental functional importance: the anti-codon, which is responsible for specific mRNA codon recognition, and the 3' end, to which the tRNAs corresponding amino acid is attached (by aminoacyl-tRNA synthetases). tRNAs cope with the degeneracy of the genetic code in two manners: having more than one tRNA (with a specific anti-codon) for a particular amino acid; and 'wobble' base-pairing, i.e. permitting non-standard base-pairing at the 3rd anti-codon position.
Source: RNAcentral
GGAGAGGUACCGAAGUGGUCGUAACGGGCCGCACUCGAAAUGCGGUUGGGGCGCAAGCUCCACGGGAGUUCGAAUCUCCCCCUCUCCG